This 437-nucleotide ribosomal RNA is filed under the name uncultured bacterium. Its description in RNAcentral is "bacterial SSU rRNA". It matches the Rfam family "Bacterial small subunit ribosomal RNA", at positions 954 to 1392 of the family's 1533-position model. The record is from RNAcentral.
GCAGAACGCGAAGAACCUUACCUGGGCUCGAAAUGCAGAUGACCAUCGGCGAAAGUCGACUUCCGCAAGGACAUCUGUAUAGGUGCUGCAUGGCUGUCGUCAGCUCGUGUCGUGAGAUGUUGGGUUAAGUCCCGCAACGAGCGCAACCCUUGUUCUCUGUUGCCAUCAGGUAAAGCUGGGCACCCUGAGGAGACUGCCGGUGACAAACCGGAGGAAGGUGGGGAUGACGUCAAGUCAGCAUGGCCUUUAUGUCCAGGGCUACACACGUGCUACAAUGGCCGGUACAAAGCGCUGCAAGCCCGCGAGGGCAAGCCAAUCGCAUAAAGCCGGUCUCAGUUCGGAUUGCAGGCUGCAACUCGGCUGCGUGAAGUCGGAAUCGCUAGUAAUCGCGGAUCAGCAUGUCGCGGUGAAUACGUUCCCGGGUCUUGUACACACCG